Molecule: ribosomal RNA, 497 nt
Filed under: uncultured bacterium
Lineage: Bacteria
Description: partial 16S ribosomal RNA
Rfam family: Bacterial small subunit ribosomal RNA
Source: RNAcentral
GAUGAACGCUGGCGGCGUGCCUAAUACAUGCAAGUCGAGCGAACGGACGAGAAUCUUGCUUCUCGCAUGUUAGCGGCGCACGGGUGAGUAACACGUGGAUAACCUACUUAUAAGACUGGUAUAACUUCGGGAAACCGGAGCUAAUACCGUAUAAUAUUUUGAACCGCAUGGUUCAAAAGUAAAAUACGGUCUUGCUGUCACUUAUAGAUGGAUCCUCGCUUCAUUAGCUAGUUGUUAAGGUGACGGCUUACCAAGGCAACGAUGCAUAGCCGACCUGACAGGGUGGUAGGACACCGUAGAGUAUAACCAGGGACAAGACGACUAAGGGAGGACGCAGUCGGGGAUGUUCGGCAACGGGCGAGAACAUGACAGAGUGAGGGGGAGCGAGUGGUAACGGCCUUGGGAUCGUGAACAUCUCUUAUGAGGGAAGAACAUAUGUGUCAGUAACUGUACAGUUAUUGACGGUAACUGAUCAGAAAGCAACGGCUAACUACGUG